UACGUAGGGGGCAAGCGUUGUCCGGAAUCAUUGGGCGUAAAGCGCGUGUAGGCGGCCAGGUAAGUCCGUUCUGAAAGCCCGGGGCUCAACCCCGGGAGGCGGAUGGAUACUGCUUGGCUCGAGUCCGGAAGAGGCGAGUGGAAUUCCCGGUGUAGCGGUGAAAUGCGCAGAUAUCGGGAGGAACACCAAUGGCGAAGGCAAUCCCCUGGGCCUGCACUGACGCUCAUGCACGAAAGCGUGGGGAGCAAACAGG
RNAcentral lists this ribosomal RNA (253 nucleotides) under uncultured bacterium. Its description in RNAcentral is "partial 16S ribosomal RNA". It matches the Rfam family "Bacterial small subunit ribosomal RNA", at positions 524 to 776 of the family's 1533-position model. The record is from RNAcentral.